RNAcentral lists this long non-coding RNA (808 nucleotides) under Heterocephalus glaber (naked mole-rat). RNAcentral's name for it is "lncRNA (ENSHGLG00000027097.2)". The record is from RNAcentral. Lineage: Eukaryota; Metazoa; Chordata; Mammalia; Rodentia; Bathyergidae.
CACACACACGAGUGCGCAUGCACACACAGCCUGAUUAUUACCCUAUCUCUAUUGUCCUCUGUUCACAUGUCUGUCCUGACCUUGGGAUUAUGAGCUCUAUGAGAUCACAGAUAGAAUUGUGUAGGUCUGUGUUCUUAGUGCCAAGCAUGGGACCUGGCACACAGACCAUCUUAUUGAAUGUUUACCGUUAAGAGGAACUGGUGAAACCAUACAGAAGACCCAGGAUUCCCACUGGCCUCAGAGUCCCACCAUCCACUCUGGUCACUCACCACAAAUGGACAACCUGGGCAGUCACUGUCCUGGAUUGGGCAUAUUGCAGUGUACAUAACAGGCUGGGCUCCUGGUCUCAUGGAGUGAACUGUCCAGAUGAUGAAAUCCUGACUCAGAAAGGUAAACUUGCUCAAGGUCACACAGUUGUGGCAGAGUCAGGACUUGAACCCAGACACCAGCAUCCAAAGUCUGACCUCUUAACCCCUGCGUGGCCCAGGCUGAGAAUUAAGGGCCAGAUAGAGGCGGAAAGCGACACCGAGAAUCCAUUCCAAACGAGCAGCCAAGAGGAGACGAGGCAGCUCCCAGAUGUUGAUGCUUUGUUUUUUGACAUAAAUCUUUGCACUCAUGUGGGAGUUUUCAUUGAUUCAUGUUCCCAUCUGCUGAAUUUCCUUUUAUUUAUUUAAUAUGGCUUUUUGGGGAAAUCUUGCUCCGAAGCUCUGGAGGGGCAUAAACCGUGGCAACCGCUGCACCCCUCCUCCCUCCUGCCAACCUCGGCUGGGGGAGGGGGGUCGGUGGUGUCCAGAGGGGAGCGCGGCUC